CUACCUGCGGCGCUCUCCCUGUCUUCCCGGCUGUUGUGCCUGUCACACUGGACAGGCAGCGGCAGCCAGGGAGCCUCCGCUCAUCUCCCCCGGCCCUCCCCCUCUCUCCGUCUCCCUACACAUUGUACUGUGCGCGAUCGCGCGUGCGCGCGAUCGCGACGGUACGCGCGCGCCUGCGCGGCUUCAGUGAGCGGGUUUAACAGCCAGUAACAGCGGGAAGGAAGGUGCACAUCGGAAUCCUGCAGCAUGAAACAAGAACCCCUUCAGAGCGCAGCAGACCACACUGAAAAGGGUGCAUACCCGGUGCGGUGCUCUGCAUCCCGGGUCGUGCCGAAGAUGUGGAGUGUCGGAGGUGGCAGAAGCGCCGCAGCUUGGGGCUCAUUACUGAGGAGGGUUCUCUCUUCCCUCCCACAGGCAAUGUUGGCAAAGAAUGGAGAAAAAAAGGAGUAGAAUGCAGGGAUUCUCAGACGUAUGAGUCAGAAAUCAACCUCAUUCUGUGAAAUGGACUUAUGACUGGUUACUGGGCAGGACAGCUUGCACUUGGUCGGGGAAAUAGAAGUAACUUUGAAAGGGAAUUGAAGAGAAAGAACAAAGCAAUGCAUAACAAUUAAUUUCCCAAAAACUAUUGAAAUCAUUACAGAAACCAAAGAUCUGGGAACAUGUCGUUAGCGGCAACACAGCUUACCUUGUAGAGUUGUCAUUACCAGAACUUGUACUAACAUUUCAUAGAAGUACCCAGAAAUAAAUAAACAAAAAGUUUUCUUGUGGGGUCUGUCUAUCACAAAAUUAAGGAUGUCUCUGAAAUAAAUGUCCUUGUUGUACUUAA
This is a long non-coding RNA of Pseudophryne corroboree (corroboree frog), 826 nucleotides long. RefSeq lists it as uncharacterized. NCBI's taxonomy places the organism in Eukaryota, Metazoa, Chordata, Amphibia, Anura, Myobatrachidae. The record is from RefSeq and is a predicted model, not a curated record. The transcript is spliced from 4 exons.